Molecule: ribosomal RNA, 254 nt
Filed under: uncultured bacterium
Lineage: Bacteria
Description: partial 16S ribosomal RNA
Rfam family: Bacterial small subunit ribosomal RNA
Source: RNAcentral
UACGUAGGGUGCAAGCGUUGUCCGGAAUUAUUGGGCGUAAAGAGCUCGUAGGCGGUGUGUCACGUCGGCCGUGAAAACCUGGGGCUUAACUCUGGGCGUGCGGUCGAUACGGGCAUCACUAGAGUUCGGCAGGGGAGACUGGAAUUCCUGGUGUAGCGGUGAAAUGCGCAGAUAUCAGGAGGAACACCGGUGGCGAAGGCGGGUCUCUGGGCCGAUACUGACGCUGAGGAGCGAAAGCAUGGGGAGCGAACAGG